RNAcentral lists this small nuclear RNA (193 nucleotides) under Trichomalopsis sarcophagae. RNAcentral's name for it is "U2 spliceosomal RNA". It matches the Rfam family "U2 spliceosomal RNA". Rfam says of the family: U2 is a small nuclear RNA (snRNA) component of the spliceosome (involved in pre-mRNA splicing). Complementary binding between U2 snRNA (in an area lying towards the 5' end but 3' to hairpin I) and the branchpoint sequence (BPS) of the intron results the bulging out of an unpaired adenosine, on the BPS, which initiates a nucleophilic attack at the intronic 5' splice site, thus starting the first of two transesterification reactions that mediate splicing. The record is from Rfam by way of RNAcentral. Lineage: Eukaryota; Metazoa; Arthropoda; Insecta; Hymenoptera; Pteromalidae.
AUCGCUUCUCGGCCUAUUGGCUAAGAUCAAAGUGUAGUAUCUGUUCUUAUCAGCUUGAUAUCUGAUACGCUCCUCAUUGAGGAGCCAGAAUAUCGAACUGAUUUUUGGAAUAUGGCGGAGUGUCUGGGGCUUGCUCCGGCUCCGCCGCGGGUCGACCUUGCAUUGCAGUACCGCAAGGAACGGCCCACACAAU